This 3217-nucleotide long non-coding RNA is filed under the name Canis lupus familiaris (dog). RNAcentral's name for it is "lncRNA (ENSCAFG00845026732.1)". Lineage: Eukaryota; Metazoa; Chordata; Mammalia; Carnivora; Canidae. The record is from RNAcentral.
GGGAGGGGGCGGGGCUGCAUAGGGGACGGGAGGGGUGGGUGGGGGCACGGGAAGCCCAGGGGCAGGGGAGGGGAGGGAGGGGGCGGGGUGAUGGGGGGUGCUGGUGGGACCACCGGCCGCAGGAGUGGGGCUGGGGCGCGAGGCGGCAGGUGCAGGGCAGUAGGAGGACGGAGGAGCGCGGGGCGAGGCCAGGCCCGGGUGGCGGCCGUGCCACGUGACCUCUUGUCCUGGAGUUGCGGCCCCGUGAGUGGCGCAGGGGUGCGGGCUGCAGGACAGGGUGAAGGCCAGCGCGCUUGGCGGGGGUGUCCCGGCUGUCGGCCUGCGCGCAGGAAGGGGCCCGAGCCGCAGCCCCGCUGCUGGGCAGUCCGGGCAGCUGCCCCCGCGGACGGAGGCCACGAAGCAGGCGUGGAAAGGCGCCCAGAAGGUGGAGGGCGGGCCUCGCUCCUGCCCCAGGAGAGCAGCACCUUGGGGCCUCGUGGGGCCUCGGGCGGCCCAGGGUGGCACGGGGACAGCCUGGCCCGUCCAAAGUGGGGCUGAGGGACACCUCUCGGUGGGGACGCCCUUCUCCAUGUACACACGUGUAAUCCCCAUAAAGUACAAAAUUCAAGAGAAGAGGGAUUACAGAGCUUCUGCCAAAGGCUUUCCUGGGACACCACCCAGGGCGUGUCAUUCCUUGCCGGCCACGUCCAGAUCUGGCCACUCUCGCCCAGCAGGAGGCUUCCGUGGACUUUCCGUGGCCGGGACAGGAGGUCUGCAGGCCUCAGGACCACCCCUAAGUCAGCCGCAGCCUGGGCAGGUGGUCCUUCCGUCUGCCCCCACCCCCACCCCGUUGCCCAGAGGACUCCCUCCUUCCCGGGGGGGGGGGGGGGGGGGGGCUGGGCCUCCUCCCCCAGCUCUUGUCUUUUCUUGGUUCCUCGCCUGUUUGGGUGAAGCCGGGCAUACACACUGGGAGGUCAUUUAUUUAAUGAUAAUGGAAACCGGAAAAUGUCUUGGUUUCACCUUCACACUUGAUUUGUAGUUUGCCUAAGCAUAGAACUCCAGGUUAGGGAGGCCCGGGGCGGGGAGGGGGGGGGGGGUGGCGGGGGGCUCAGCAGUUGAGCGCCUGCCUUCCCCUGGAGACCUAGGAUCGAGUUCUGCGUCGAGCUCCCGGCGUGGAGCCUGCUUCUCCCUCUGCCUGUGUCUCUGCCUCUCUCUGUGUCUCUCUCUCUGUCACUCAUGAGUAAAUAAGUCUUUAAAAAAACAAUUAGGGAUCCCUGGGUGGCGCAGCGGUUUGGCGCCUGCCUUUGGCCCAGGGCGCGAUCCUGGAGACCCGGGAUCGAAUCCCACAUCGGGCUCCUGGUGCAUGGAGCCUGCUUCUCCCUCUGCCUGUGUCUCUGCCUCUCUCUCUCUCUGUGUGACUAUCAUAAAAUAAAUAAAAAUUAAAAAAAAAAAAACAAUUAAAAAGAACUCUAGGUUAGAGACCUUCGGACUGUGCAGGCCUGUCUCCGGCCCAGGAGUGCCCGUAAGAAAUUCACAGGCAUUUGAACGUAUGAUCCUUUACCACAGUGGAGGCUGCUCCUCCCUACAAAUAUUUAGGAUCCUCUGUGGAAAUUUCACAAUGUGCUGCGUCCUUGUGCCUGGACGUUCUCUCAUUAUUUUGGGAACUCAAAGCUCCCUCAGUCUGGAAACUCCUGUGCUUCAGACCUGGGAACUUCCUUCAUAGGUUAUUUCACUAAUCAUUUCUUUCCACCAAUGACUCGUCCCCCCCUUCGCUGUUGCCUCUGUCUAAAAUUCUUGUUUUAAGAUGUCAGAGGUUGGGCAGCCGGGAGGGGGGGCUCAGUGGUUUAGCGCCGCCUUCGGCCCGGGGCGUGAUCCUGGAGACCGGGGAUCGGGUCCCACAUCAGGCUCCCUGCAUGGAGCCUGUUUCUCCCUCUGCCUGUGCUUCUGUGCCUCUCUGUGUCUCCCUGUGUCUCAUGAAUAAAUAGAUAAAAUCUUAAAAAGAAAAAAAAAAAAAAAAGAUGGCCGAGGUUUGAGACUGAAGCUUGUGUGUUCAACUUGUCUCCUGUUUUCCAUCCUGGCCUUUCGCUCUGCCUUCUGGAGGAUUUCUCCCCAGGGAGCUUGUUCCGCUGCCACUGUGCUGAAUUUCCAAGAGCUCUUCGUCCACCCACGUCUCUUUUCAGAGAAGAGAAACGUUCUGUUCCUGCUUCAAGGGAGCAGUGUCUGAGGAUGUGCAUGCGGAAGUGUUCUCCUGCUUGGGGGGUUUGCCCCAGAUGGUCUCUUCCCUGUUUCUUCUGUUUCCAUCUUCCAGGAACUUUUCGUGCCGGCAGGUACUGUUUGUUUGCUCAUGAGGAGGAACAGGCCAGAGGGGUAUUUGGAAAUACCAGGUUUGUAAGCGGGACUCAUCUAAUGAGAGCUUGACACUGGGGAGUUUGGGGGCGGGGGGGGGCUGUUAACUGGGCAACCUCCCCCCUGAGAUCCCCUGAGUCCUCCUGCUGGGCUGCCCAGGCUCCCCAUUAAGAGUCUUCCAGUGUCCUUCCUGCAGCAUACAGGUCUACUUGCCAGUAUUUUUGAAACCAAAGAGUGGAUAGGAUGAGGGGGUGGUCAGCAUUCUGGGUACCAGAGACUCACCCCCAACUGUCUCUCCUUCUGGAAUCCCUCUGUGCAAAAACAGGCAUCCAGCCCGCUGCCAGGAUGGCCCCAGGGCCACUGCCUGGAUUCUAACAGCUUCUCUCUCUCUCUCUCUCUUUUUUUUUUAAAAGAUUUAUUUAUUUAUUCAUGAGAGACAGAGAGAGAGAGAGACAGAGACCCAGGCAGAGGGAGAAGCAGGCUCCAGGCAGGGAGCCCGAUGUGGGACUCGAUCCCAGGACCCCGGGGUCACGCCCUGAGCCAAAGGUAGACACUCAACCGCUGAGCCACCCAGGGGCCCCAAUCUAACGGCUUCUUAAACAUGAGAAGACCUAUUCAGAUAAUUGGAGGUGCUGAGGACUCAUCCCAGAAUAAGAGACAAAUCCCAGCCGCCACGGAAUUCAGAAAGUGGACAUAGGAAUAUAUGUACAGGGAUCCCUGGGUGGCGCAGCGGUUUAGCGCUGUCUUUGGCCCAGGGCGCGAUCCUGGAGACCCGGGAUCGAAUCCCACAUCGGGCUCCCGGUGCAUGGAGCCUGCUCCUCCCUCUGCCUGUGUCUCUGCCUCUCUCUCUCUCUCUCUCUGUGUGACUAUCAUAAAUAAAUAAAAAAUUUAA